CCUACGGGCGGCUGCAGUGAGGAAUAUUGGUCAAUGGGCGAGAGCCUGAACCAGCCAAGUCGCGUGAGGGAGUACUGCCCUAUGGGUUGUAAACCUCUUUUGUCGGGGAGCAAAAGCCGGACGUGUCCGGCUGUGAGAGUACCCGAAGAAAAAGCAUCGGCUAACUCCGUGCCAGCAGCCGCGGUAAUACGGAGGAUGCGAGCGUUAUCCGGAUUUAUUGGGUUUAAAGGGUGCGCAGGCGGAUUUUUAAGUCAGCGGUAAAAUCGUGGGGCUCAACCCCAUCCAGCCGUUGAAACUGGGGAUCUAGAGUGUGCGAGAGGUAUGCGGAAUGCGUGGUGUAGCGGUGAAAUGCAUAGAUAUCACGCAGAACCCCGAUUGCGAAGGCAGCAUACCGGUGCACAACUGACGCUCAGGCACGAAAGCGUGGGUAUCGAACAGGAUUAGAUACCCCGGUAGUC
This 458-nucleotide ribosomal RNA is filed under the name uncultured bacterium. RNAcentral's name for it is "partial 16S ribosomal RNA". It matches the Rfam family "Bacterial small subunit ribosomal RNA", at positions 338 to 795 of the family's 1533-position model. The record is from RNAcentral.